This 309-nucleotide unclassified non-coding RNA is filed under the name plant metagenome. RNAcentral's name for it is "partial contains 5.8S ribosomal RNA, internal transcribed spacer 2, and large subunit ribosomal RNA". The stretch from base 1 to 105 matches the Rfam family "5.8S ribosomal RNA", at positions 50 to 154 of the family's 154-position model. The record is from RNAcentral.
GAAAUGCGAUAAGUAGUGUGAAUUGCAGAAUUCAGUGAAUCAUCGAAUCUUUGAACGCACAUUGCGCCCCUUGGUAUUCCAUGGGGAAUGCCUGUUCGAGCGUCAUUUGUACCCUCAAGCUCUGCUUGGUGUUGGGUGUUUGUCCCGUCUCCGCGCGUGGACUCGCCCCAAAGUGAUUGGCAGCCGGCGUACUGGUCCCGGAGCGCAGCACAUGUCGCGCAAACGAGUGCCUUGGUACGGCGGCGUCAAUACGCCCCUCUCUCACGCUCUUGACCUCGGAUCAGGUAGGGAUACCCGCUGAACUUAAGC